AACGAACGCUGGCGGCAUGCCUAACACAUGCAAGUCGAACGGGAUCCUAGCUUGCUAGGUGAGAGUGGCGGACGGGUGAGUAACACGUGGGAAUCUGCCUUUUGGUUCGGGAUAACCGCGGGAAACUGCGGCUAAUACCGAAUGCCCUCGAGAGAGGAAAGAUUUAUCGCCAGAAGAGGAGCCCGCGUCCGAUUAGGUAGUUGGUGGGGUAAAAGGCCUACCAAGCCGACGAUCGGUAGCUGGUCUGAGAGGAUGAUCAGCCACACUGGGACUGAGAUACGGCCCAGACUCCUACGGGAGGCAGCAGUGGGGAAUAUUGGACAAUGGGGGCAACCCUGAUCCAGCAAUGCCGCGUGAGUGAUGAA
This 365-nucleotide ribosomal RNA is filed under the name uncultured bacterium. Its description in RNAcentral is "bacterial SSU rRNA". It matches the Rfam family "Bacterial small subunit ribosomal RNA", at positions 29 to 412 of the family's 1533-position model. The record is from RNAcentral.